UACGUAGGGUGCGAGCGUUAAUCGGAAUUACUGGGCGUAAAGGGUGCGCAGGCGGCGUCGCAAGUCAGGCGUGAAAUCCCCGGGCUUAACCUGGGAACUGCACUUGAAACUACGACGCUGGAGUAUGGCAGAGGGAAGUGGAAUUCCACGUGUAGCGGUGAAAUGCGUAGAUAUGUGGAGGAACACCAGUGGCGAAGGCGACUUUCUGGCCUAUAACUGACGCUGAGGCGCGAAAGCGUGGGGAGCAAACAGG
RNAcentral lists this ribosomal RNA (253 nucleotides) under uncultured bacterium. Its description in RNAcentral is "partial 16S ribosomal RNA". It matches the Rfam family "Bacterial small subunit ribosomal RNA", at positions 524 to 776 of the family's 1533-position model. The record is from RNAcentral.